GUUGAACGCUGGCGGCGUGCCUAAUACAUGCAAGUCGAGCGAACGGACGAGAAGCUUGCUUCUCUGAUGUUAGCGGCGGACGGGUGAGUAACACGUGGAUAACCUGCCUAUAAGACUGGGAUAACGUCGGGAGACCGGAGCUAAUACCGGAUAAUAUUUUGAACCGCAUGGUUCAAAAGUGAAAGACGGUCUUGCUGUCACUUAGAGAUGGAUCCGCGCUGCAUUAGCUAGUUGGUAAGGUAACGGCUUACCAAGGCAACGAUGCAUAGCCGACCUGAGAGGGUGAUCGGCCACACUGGAACUGAGACACGGUCCAGACUCCUACGGGAGGCAGCAGUAGGGAAUCUUCCGCAAUGGGCGAAAGCCUGACGGAGCAACGCCGCGUGAGUGAUGAAGGUCUUCGGAUCGUAAAACUCUGUUAUUAGGGAAGAACAUAUGUGUAAGUAACUGUGCACAUCUUGACGGUACCCAAUCAGAAAGCCACGGCUAACUACGUG
RNAcentral lists this ribosomal RNA (497 nucleotides) under uncultured bacterium. RNAcentral's name for it is "partial 16S ribosomal RNA". It matches the Rfam family "Bacterial small subunit ribosomal RNA", at positions 28 to 507 of the family's 1533-position model. The record is from RNAcentral.